Molecule: ribosomal RNA, 492 nt
Filed under: uncultured bacterium
Lineage: Bacteria
Description: partial 16S ribosomal RNA
Rfam family: Bacterial small subunit ribosomal RNA
Source: RNAcentral
AGUGAACGCUGGCGGUAGGCCUAACACAUGCAAGUCGAACGGCAGCACAGUAAGAGCUUGCUCUUACGGGUGGCGAGUGGCGGACGGGUGAGGAAUACAUCGGAAUCUACUUUUUCGUGGGGGAUAACGUAGGGAAACUUACGCUAAUACCGCAUACGACCUACGGGUGAAAGCAGGGGAUCUUCGGACCUUGCGCGAUUGAAUGAGCCGAUGUCGGAUUAGCUAGUUGGCGGGGUAUAGGCCCACCAAGGCGACGAUCCGUAGCUGGUCUGAGAGGAUGAUCAGCCACACUGGAACUGAGACACGGUCCAGACUCCUACGGGAGGCAGCAGUGGGGAAUAUUGGACAAUGGGCGCAAGCCUGAUCCAGCCAUACCGCGUGGGUGAAGAAGGCCUUCGGGUUGUAAAGCCCUUUUGUUGGGAAAGAAAAGCAGCAGGUUAAUACCCCGCUGUUCUGACGGUACCCAAAGAAUAAGCACCGGCUAGCUUCGUG